RNAcentral lists this long non-coding RNA (399 nucleotides) under Cyanistes caeruleus (blue tit). RNAcentral describes it as "lncRNA (ENSCCEG00000000349.1)". The record is from RNAcentral. Lineage: Eukaryota; Metazoa; Chordata; Aves; Passeriformes; Paridae.
CUCCCUAACAAUUCAAAGCAUUCAUACUGUAUUAUCCUUUCUUCCAUAAACAGGUGACUUACAAGUAAGAAAAGAGCUAAAAAACAGAAGCUUGACUCAAGAUAGCUUUAAAAGCAAAAACAAUACUGUCAUCAUUGUAGAAGACUAAAAGAAAUGAAAACUAUUUCCUAGAAACUAAACAAAUGCAUCCAUAACAGGAAGUGAAUACAUGUCAGGGACACAGUAAAUUACUGUGCAAAUUGAGAAUAACACAGAAGCUUCCAUUUUGAGAUGAACCCUGAAGAGAAAAACAAUAAUAAUUAAGUUCCUGCUAACAAGGAUCCAGUCAUUCUUCUCUGCUCCAGCCUGAACCAUGAAGAUUUUGGCUACCUCUUUAUGCCAGUCUGCAAUGUGACCCAC